Molecule: ribosomal RNA, 440 nt
Filed under: uncultured bacterium
Lineage: Bacteria
Description: partial 16S ribosomal RNA
Rfam family: Bacterial small subunit ribosomal RNA
Source: RNAcentral
CCUACGGGUGGCAGCAGUGGGGAAUAUUGGGCAAUGGGCGGAAGCCUGAUGCAGCGACGCCGCGUGAUUGAAGAAGUAUUUCGGUAUGUAAAGCUCUAUCAGCAGGGAAGAAAAUGACGGUACCUAACUAGGAAGCCCCGGCUAACUACGUGCCAGCAGCCGCGGUAAUACGUAGGGGGCAAGCGUUAUCCGGAGUUACUGGGUGUAAAGGGAGCGUAGGCGGUGCGGCAAGUCUGAUGUGAAAGGCCGGGGCCCAACCCCGGGACUGCAUUGGAGACUGUUGAACUGGAGUGCAGGAGAGGUAAGCGGAAGUCCUGGUGUAGCGGUGAAAUGCGUAGAUAUUAGGAGGAACACCAGUGGCGAAGGCGGCUUACUGGACUGUAACUGACGUUGAGGAUCGAAAGCGUGGGGAGCAAACAGGAUUAGAUACCCCUGUAGUC